GAUGAACGCUGGCGGCGUGCCUAAUACAUGCAAGUCGAGCGAACAGACGAGGAGCUUGCUCCUCUGACGUUAGCGGCGGACGGGUGAGUAACACGUGGAUAACCUACCUAUAAGACUGGGAUAACUUCGGGAAACCGGAGCUAAUACCGGAUAAUAUAUUGAACCGCAUGGUUCAAUAGUGAAAGACGGUUUUGCUGUCACUUAUAGAUGGAUCCCCGCCGCAUUAGCUAGUUGGUAAGGUCACGGCUUACCACGGCAACGAUGCGUAGCCGACCUGAGAGGGUGAUCGGCCACACUGGAACUUAGACACGGUCCAGACUCCUACGGGAGGCAGCAGUAGGGAAUCUUCCGCAAUGGGCGAAAGCUUGACGGAGCAACGCCGCGUGAGUGAUGAAGGUCUUCGGAUCGUAAAACUCUGUUAUUAGGGAAGAACAAAUGUGUAAGUAACUAUGCACGUCUUGACGGUACCUAAUCAGAAAGCCACGGCUAACUACGUG
This 497-nucleotide ribosomal RNA is filed under the name uncultured bacterium. Its description in RNAcentral is "partial 16S ribosomal RNA". It matches the Rfam family "Bacterial small subunit ribosomal RNA", at positions 28 to 507 of the family's 1533-position model. The record is from RNAcentral.